ACGAAGGGGGCUAGCGUUGCUCGGAAUCACUGGGCGUAAAGCGCACGUAGGCGGACUCUUAAGUCGGUGGUGAAAUCCUGGAGCUCAACUCCAGAACUGCCUUCGAUACUGGGAGUCUCGAGUUCGGGAGAGGUGAGUGGAACUGCGAGUGUAGAGGUGAAAUUCGUAGAUAUUCGCAAGAACACCAGUGGCGAAGGCGGCUUGCUGGAUCUUUGCUGACACUGAGACGCGAAAGCGUGGGGAGCAAACAGGA
RNAcentral lists this ribosomal RNA (253 nucleotides) under uncultured prokaryote. Its description in RNAcentral is "partial 16S ribosomal RNA". It matches the Rfam family "Bacterial small subunit ribosomal RNA", at positions 525 to 777 of the family's 1533-position model. The record is from RNAcentral.